AAAAUGAUUUAUCCAUUGUGUGGUUAAAAGAAAUGGAGAAGCCUGUUUAAUUAUUCAGGUGGCGCGCUUUUGAUCACAUGGCAAGAAAAGUUCUAGUUGAACAUUUCCAACUGUGAAGAUUAUUACAUGGCAUUUUCCAUAUCAGACCCUUUAUCGGCCCAAGGUCAUGAUAUCAGCCCAAGAGCCGCAGGCAGAAAACAGAAAAAACCCAACCCAUUACAGUAAUUGUUUAACAUGUUUAAACAGAGGAGCGGACAUCCUAGGAUAUUACACAUUGCAAAUACAUUCAGAUAAGCGUUUAUGUUUACCUGUUAAUUUGUUACAGAAGAUGGAUGUACUGUUGCAUUGGAUUGUUAUAUAUUUAUUCGUAAAUAUCAAAUCAAGUGUUAUCUCAGAAUCACUAACAUGGGAACGUGAGCCAUGUAUAAUGAGAAUCGGCGAACCAGUGACUUUGAUAUGUACCGUCCAUGGUGUAAAGACUAUUGACCAGAAUCUGACACGCCAAUGGUCAAAAGGGACCGAAUCGAUUGUAUACAAUGGACAUUUGGAUAAACCUUCAGAAUAUAAGGAGAUAUUAACCGCACAUAACCAGUUUGGGCUAUUGAUAGAAAACCUCACCGAGUCCGACUUGACAUCCAAUUAUCAAUGCCGGUAUAACUUCGAUACGUCAUCGAAAAAACUACAGAUAAAUGCAGAGAACUUCGAAUAUCCUCCCACUUUUGAAACAACAAACAUUGUGUACAACACUUCUAGCAGUGGAAAAAUAUAUAUUUCUCUUCAUUUUGUCAAAGUUUUUCCAUUGCCAAAUUGUUCUCUAGCUUUAGAGAAUAAAUAUUACCAAUGCAAAAAUUCCUCCAUAGUAAAGCAUAGCGUUUAUUACGAGGUCUUCUUGAACUGUGAAGUCAACAACUGCAACACCAAACCGCAGAUACGAUGCCAUUUGAUUGAAGAAUAUCCGAUACCAUGGACGACGUUUCAAGUUUGUAAAGAACAGAACAGGCCAGGAAAGACGGAUGAUUUCGAACUUGGCUAUGGAAAAAUGUAAUCUUUAGAGGGGUUUUGUUAAUAUCUUUUCAAUUGAGAUUCUAGAAGUGUACUUAUCAUCACAUUUGUGGCAUUUGGAGUAUUAUAUAUUGGACCUCAUUUUGGAGUGUAUUGCGCAUUUCUCUUCAAUCGAGAUAUACAAUGAGUGUUCCUUUUGGUGGUAUCAAUGACAGUUGGGGAGUUACUGUGGAUCCCAUUGCGAAGAAACAAAUACGGAUCUUUUAUGCAUAGACAUUCAUGAACUUAUCAUUGUGAAGAGGCAAAAAAAACCUCGGGUUUCGUUAUCGUAGAUUUAACAUGGAGUGGAUACUUGAUGAUAAUGUAAAUGUGAGUAAUUCAGAACACUUGACAUAAAUGAUACCUGCAAUGGAAUUUUGAAUGUUUAAUCUUUUGCAAAUAUUAUGAAAAGUUUUAUUUGGACUAUUUUAGUCAUGAUGUUGACACACGCAGCUUCAUUUUCCACCUGUUAGGUUUUGAGGUUAUCGCUACAGUCUGUUUUGUUAUGAAAACCAAAUAUUAUCAGUAUUAUUUUAGUCAACCAAAAAUCCUUUGUAAAUUAAAGGACAAUAUUCCUGAUUAAUACUUGAUUUUGCACUCAAUUUCCCCAUUUAUCAUUUUCCUCAAGAAAGCUUAUGAUUUCAGAGUGAUAAUAUUUUUCAUGAUUCAAUAUUCUGAUCGUUAUCAAAUGACACAAGUCUUUUUUUUUUUAUAAAUUACAGUUACAAGAUCAACAGAUAAUACGAAAUUUUUAAACACUUUAUGAACUGUGAGGAAUGAAACAAAAAUGAAAAAUGACAAAAAUACAAACAACAGUCUGCAGAUCAUUACUUAAAAAAACCUCAAGAUCAAUCUUAAACGAAUCCUACACAAACCGUGGGGGGUCUCUCGUGCUGGCGUCAGCAAAUGAAUAUGUACAUUCACCGACAUCUGGUGCAUCUUGAUUGAAUUGAGAUGAUGGUUUCCUCUCAACCAAACAACGGCUUGUAACUUUGAUAACAUAUUGUAUCCAAUCAGUGAUACCAGAAGGGUCAUUUGUCGGAUUCUAUGUGAAAAAACAUGCACUUAUUCGAAGACGGAUGUUUUUGCUUGUAUUUCUUCUGGACCAAAUUAACAUAUUGCCUUUGAUUAUGAUGUUGUAUCAUUAAGAAGAAACCAUUUAACUUCAAGAGGGGGUAUGAUUUUUAUUCUUAUUUUAUUGAAUUUUCAAAGCUAUCAAUCAUAUUAUUUUGUUGAAAAUUUAACACUAUAAGGUAUGGGGAAAAUCUGGAUUCAGAAUAUGUUUUUUGUCCUCUGCUUGAACAGAAUAUUUUUUAAAUUUUUAUUAAUUUGGGAAUCAGAAUAUUUUUUUGGGAAAAAAAAUGACCCCACCUUAAUGUUAAAUGGUCGUUCCCUUAAUAAUUAUAUCUUGUGGCAAAUUCAGUUUCCAUCCGAAAAAAAUAGUAGUUGACUGAGAUGAUUUAAUUCAGUGUGAAUAUAUUGAAUGAAGAUUCAGUAAUAGAUAGCAACACUCCCACGAAACUAUUUUAAAAGUAUUCUACCAAUACAUGCAAAUGAUAAGCAUAUGUCAAUGCUUGCUAAGACAUUAGCAAACCUAAUUUCUUGUUUUUGUCUGCAUAUGUUUUCCAGAAAAUAAUCACAUGUUGCAGACCAUAUUGAUAUCAAGUAUAAUUCCAACAGGCUGCCUAUUUGUUAUUAUUGCUAUAGUGAUAGUGAUUUGCUAUAAAAGAAAAUCAAAGUCUGCGAGAGCUGAUGUAGCUGAAGAUACAAUGCUUCCAACUAAAACAGGAGAAGCUAAGCAGUCAUAAUAUAUUAGAAACGGUGUGUUUAGUUGUAUAUGCAGUCGAAUGAAGACUAGAACUUGCUCUCUGGAUCAAAAUUUAUCAUUAGCUAUCAAACUAAAAGAAAGAUUUUAAAUGGGGAAAAUGACAGCUUAGAGAUUCGUAGAUACCAAUGGUGGCUGUUCUGUUUUGAGACAAUGUAUGGAAAUACACAUUGAUUAUUUUUUUUAUGAUUUAUUACUUAUCUAUACCAUCGUAUGUGUUCACUAUGCUUUUUUGUCUUUUUGUCUAGUCAUGGUACACAAUACUUUGUUUAUUACUACUUCCCCCCUUAAAUUUCCACAAACCUCACAGGUUUCACUUUGCAGAAACAAAAAAAACUGGAGAUUCAAAUACUCUAACAUCAUGAACAUUUUCAAUCACCCAAAUAAUUUAGUCUUUCCAUGGAUAUGCUUAGUAGUUUUUUUUUUAAAUUUCAUUACAAAUGGUCUUUCCUUUUUGUUAAAAUUCAUAUACGUAUGUCAUAUUCUCAACCAUAUUUAGGAUCAUCUAACUAUGCAAACAUUACAAAGAAGUAAAACAAUGUUUCUUAAUCAUGUUAAUGUCCAGUCAUACCUUUUUAUGACUAGAACUCGGAAAUGCACAACCAAACUACCAUGGAUAUGCUUAGUAGUUUUUUUUUUUUAAAUUUCAUUACAAAUGGUCUUUCCUUUUUGUUAAAAUUCAUAUACGUAUGUCAUAUUCUCAACCAUAUUUAGGAUCAUCUAACUAUGCAAACAUUACAAAGAAGUAAAACAAUGUUUCUUUAUCAUGUUAAUGUCCAGUCAUACCUUUUUAUGACUAGAACUCGGAAAUGCACAACUAAACUACAAAGAUGGUUAAGUCUAAUGACACAUUUAUUUUUUGUUUCUUUUUGUUUGUAUUAUAAGUCAAAGUUAUUCUGUUCUUACACAUUUAGAAUAAACACAAUGAUGUUAUCAUCUUAUCACGUAAUCAUAAUACAAGAGUGUAUUGUGUGUCAAAAUAUGAGAUUAACGUCUGAACAUUUUUUUAUUAUUCGAUGAUUCAAAUUCUUUAUUGUUAUUUUAGUGUUUCACAUGUUUCUAUAAUAAUAUUUAAACAGCAUUUUAACAGAUUUAAAAGCACAUACAAGCAAUUGAUUUUGCAUAAAUAUUUGAAUCUUGAAGCCUACUAUACAUGCUAUUGUGAAGUUCAAUUUUACCCUUAAAUCUAUUAAAAUCAGUUAUCUAUUAGUUAUAACCUAAAUAUACUUCUACUUUGUGUACAUUAUUUUUUUGUUAAUUUUUAAUGUUAUUUGGCAUAUUUGGAUCGAUUUUAGUCGAAAUUUUAUAUUAUUUUUUACUCUGAAUUCAUGUUUUACGUUCAAGGAAUAUACUAUUCUAUGUGCAAUUAUAAUUAUAAUGUUACAGGUAUUACAAUAUAAUUAUCUGUAAUAAUCGUUCUACUAAAGCAUUAUUAGGUAUGUGUUCUUUUGAAUUCGGGGUUCAAAUUGUGUAAACCAAAUAACAUCGACAUUUCAUCUAAACCAAUUUGUUUAUUCAUUUCAUUUAAACGCUGAAGGUUUGACCUUUUAGAUAGGGACUGUUCAGGUUUAGUAUCAAAUCUAAAGAUUGUUUCAAUUACCUGAUAUACUUAACCUCAGUACAUAUUUGUUGGGAACAAUUAUUUAUGAUUUUGACAUUAAAAAUAAGGUAGUUUGAUAUCUUCCUUAACGCAACAAAUGAACAGAUAACGAAAGAAACCAUUCUUUUUUUUAAUUUUGUAUAACAAUUGUACAUAUGUAUUUUCAAUUCGUCGAAUCGGUUUGAAAUUCUGUUCUCAUUCCCUAACAAAUUAAAGAAGACAAUACAAUCCUUCAUACUGAGGAUUUUGUUUGAAAGUUUUUUGUCAUAUCUAGGGGACAACAAAUGAACGCAACUAGUUAAUCAUUUUUUUUUUGCCAAAAAGAAAUAAAAAAAGAAACACCCUUGGUGAGAACGGUGUUUGGUAAUUAUGAUGAAUUUUAUUAUGCUACCUUUUUUGUCACGUACGUCUGCGGCUCAAACGUAUCUCUCUUUAAUAUUUCGGAAAGAUAAUUCCCUCCGAGAUAAAUCGAGAUUAACGAAACGCCGAUGCAUUGUCUACUACAUUAAAUUGACAUUUUCUAGUAACAAGUUACAAUCUAACGUCGGAAUUCGAUUUGAUUUCCUCCUGAAUAUUCCAUGAAGAUGGGCAUUUUGAUUAAAAGAAAAGAUGGCGUUCCAUCUAAGACAUAUUAAACUUCAAAGAAUAGGCGAGGGAUCAAAAUAGUUUCGUUGACACAAGAUCUUCCCAGAACAUGUAUGUCGAACUUAACGUUUCGUUUCUUUUUUGUGUUUUGGGUAUUUUAUACAUGUGCAUCUAUAUAUAACUUUGGUAUAUAUAUUUUAAAAAAGUAAAUUCGCUUAAAAGUAGCUUGAAUAUUAAAACGGUUGCAUAAUACACUGUUAUAAAGCAUGUUUCUGUUUAUUUACUAUUUGAUAAAAUGUAUCUGUUUUUAGCUCACCUGGCCCAAUGGUCCAAGUGAGCUUUUCUCAUCACUUGGCGUUCGUCGUCCGUCGUCGUCCGUCGUUUGUUAACUUUUACAAAAAUCUUCUCCUCUGAAACUACUGGGCUAAAUUUAACCAAAAUUGGCCACAAUCAUCAUUGGGGUAUCUAGUUUAAAAAAUGUGUCUGAUGACCCGGCCAACCAACCAAGAUGGCCGCCAUGGCUAAAAAUAGAACAAGGGGUAAUAUGCAGAUUUUGGCUUUUAUCUCUGAAACUAAAGCAUUUAGAGCAAAUCUGACAUGAUAAUAAUGUUUAUCAGGUCAGGAUCUAUCUGCUCUAAAAUUUUCAGAAAAAUCGGACAAUCUGUUGUUGGGUUGCUGCCCCUGAAUUGGUAAUUUUAAGGAAAUUUGCAGUUUUUUGUUAUUAUCUUGAAUAUUAUUAUAGAUAUAGAUAAACUGAAAGCAGCAAUAAUAUUCAGCAAAGUAAGAUCUACAAAUAAAUCAACAUGACCAAAAUGGUCAAUUGACCCCUGAAGGAGUUAUUGCCCUUUAAAGUCAAUUUUUAACAAUUUUUCGUAUUUUCUUUUAAUCUUUUACAAAUGUCUUCUCCUCUGAAACAACUGAGACAAAUUUAACCAAACUUUGCCACAAUCAUCAUUAGGAUCUCUUGUUGAAAAAAUGUGUCUGAUGACCCUGCCUGCCAACCAACAUGGCAGACAUGGCUAACAAAAAUACAUAGGGGUAAAAUGCAGAUUUUGGCUUAUAUCUCUGACACUAAAGCAAAAGUAUAACGGUUGCAUUAUUUCAUGAAUGAAUUGUAAAUAAAAAUAUCAGGUGAGUGACACAGGCUCCUUGGAGCCUCUAGUUUUAUAUACACAAUACAAAGGCAGCUUCUUGAUUGAAUAUUGCAUGUAUUAAAACCCAACCAUUUUUUCUUUAUUAUAUAUUUUUGUAAAUGCUGAGACGUUAAGAUUGUUUUAUACAUUUUGUGCAUUCGAGACAAUUUUGCAAUUUUACAUAUUAUGUGUUCAGAUAUUUAACAUGUUAAACAAGUAAAAUGUAAUGUCAGUG
This is an RNA transcript of Mytilus californianus (California mussel), 6419 nucleotides long. RefSeq lists it as uncharacterized. NCBI's taxonomy places the organism in Eukaryota, Metazoa, Mollusca, Bivalvia, Mytilida, Mytilidae. The record is from RefSeq and is a predicted model, not a curated record. The transcript is spliced from 8 exons.